RNAcentral lists this small RNA (126 nucleotides) under Marmota monax (woodchuck). Lineage: Eukaryota; Metazoa; Chordata; Mammalia; Rodentia; Sciuridae. The record is from RNAcentral.
GCCAGGCGUGGUUGUGCACUCCUGUAAUCCCAGUGUCUUAGGAGGCUGAGGCAGGAGGAUCACAGUACAAAGACAGCCUCAGCAAUUUAGUGAGGUCCUAAGCAACUUAGCGAGACCAUGUCUCAA